UAAAUCUAGCUUCAUUAGAGAUGUCUCCUUCUUUCUUUUGUCUCUUUGUUCUCUUCUCUUGAUCAUUGUUAUAGGAAAAAUUACCUUGUGGGCUGCCAUUUCAUUCCUAUCUAUUUACUUCUUUUAUGUUUGUGUGGUUUGCCUUAUGCACUUUCUCUUUAGGAAAGAAGAGAAAGUGAACCCAUUAGCCAAUUCUCUAUCUUCAAAAAUUCUCAUCACUGAUAGCCAGGGGGAUGUUGUGGAGAUGGGUAUACCAUUACUUGGUUAUGUUGAUGAUGAAAAGCCC
Molecule: unclassified non-coding RNA, 286 nt
Filed under: Hevea brasiliensis (rubber tree)
Lineage: Eukaryota; Viridiplantae; Streptophyta; Magnoliopsida; Malpighiales; Euphorbiaceae
Source: RNAcentral